UGAAUACGAGACGCUACGGCGUCGAAGCAGUCUAUGUCAUACUUCCAAGAAAAGCUUGCACUGUCAUAAACAAAUAAUGCCUGUACCAUAACCGACACAGGUGGGUAGGUAGAGUAUACUAAGGGGCGCGAGAUAACUCUCUCUAGGAACUCGGCAAAAUGACUCCGUAACUUCGGGAGAAGGAGUGCCUUAUUUAUAAGGUUGCAAUAACAAGAUCCAAGCAACUGUUUAUCAAAAACACAGGUCUCCGCUAAGUCGUAAGACGAUGUAUGGGGGCUGACGCCUGCCCAGUGCCAGAAGGUUAAAGAAGUUGGUUAGCAUUAGCGAAGCUGAUAACUGAAGCCCUGGUGAACGGCGGCCGUAACGAUAACGGUCCUAAGGUAGCGAAAUUCCUUGUCGGGUAAGUUCCGACCCGCACGAAAGGCGUAAUGAUUUGGAUACUGUCUCGGAGAGGGGCUCGGUGAAAUAGACUUGUCUGUGAAGAUGCGGACUACCUGCACCUGGACAGAAAGACCCUAUGAAGCUUUACUGUAACUUGAAAUUGAAAUUGGACUUUAUUUGCGCAGCAUAGGUGGGAGGCGUUGAAAAUAUUCUUGCGGGAAUAUCUGAGCCAUCGGUGAGAUACCACUCUUGUAAUGUUAGAUUUCUAACUUUGUAUCAUUAUCUGGUCAAAGAACAGUUUCAGGCGGGCAGUUUGACUGGGGCGGUCGCCUCCUAAACGGUAACGGAGGCGCACAAAGGUUUCCUCUGAACGGGUAGAAAUCGUAUCUAGAGUGUAAAGGCAUAAGGAAGCUUGACUGUGAGACCUACAAGUCGAGCAGGGACGAAAGUCGGUCUUAGUGAUCUGACGGUGCUGAGUGGAAAGGCCGUCACUCAACGGAUAAAAGUUACUCUAGGAUAACAGGCUGAUCUCCCCCAAGAGUGCACAUCGACGGGGAGGUUUGGCACCUCGAUGUCGGCUCAUCGCAUCCUGGGGCGGUAGUACGUCCCAAGGGUUGGGCUGUUCGCCCAUGAAAGCGGUACGCGAGCUGGGUUCAGAACGUCGUGAGACAGUUCGGUCCAUAUCCGGUGUAGGCGUUAGAAUAUUGAGAGGAGCCUUCUUUAGUACGAGAGGACCGAGAAGGACAUACCUCUGGUGUACCAGUUAUCGUGCCAACGGUAAACGCUGGGUAGCUAUGUAUGGAGAGGAUAACCGCUGAAAGCAUCUAAGUGGGAAGCCCACCUCAAGAUAAG
This 1233-nucleotide ribosomal RNA is filed under the name metagenome. RNAcentral describes it as "bacterial LSU rRNA". It matches the Rfam family "Bacterial large subunit ribosomal RNA", at positions 1564 to 2808 of the family's 2925-position model. The record is from RNAcentral.